ACGCACGCUGGCGGCGUGCUUCACCCCUGCAAGUCGCACGGAAAGGCCCUGCUUUUGUGGGGUGCUCGAGUGGCGAACGGGUGAGUAACACGUGAGUAACCUGCCCUUGACUUUGGGAUAACUUCAGGAAACUGGGGCUAAUACCGGAUAGGAGCUCCUGCUGCAUGGUGGGGGUUGGAAAGUUUCGGCGGUUGGGGAUGGACUCGCGGCUUAUCAGCUUGUUGGUGGGGUAGUGGCUUACCAAGGCUUUGACGGGUAGCCGGCCUGAGAGGGUGACCAGCCACAUUGGGACUGAGAUACGGCCCAGACUCCUACGGGAGGCAGCAGUGGGGAAUAUUGCACAAUGGGCGGAAGCCUGAUGCAGCAACGCCGCGUGCGGGAUGACGGCCUUCGGGUUGUAAACCGCUUUCGCCUGUGACGAAGCGUGAGUGACGGUAAUGGGUAAAGAAGCACCGGCUAACUACGUG
RNAcentral lists this ribosomal RNA (467 nucleotides) under uncultured bacterium. Its description in RNAcentral is "partial 16S ribosomal RNA". It matches the Rfam family "Bacterial small subunit ribosomal RNA", at positions 29 to 507 of the family's 1533-position model. The record is from RNAcentral.